GACGAACGCUGGCGGCGUGCCUAAUACAUGCAAGUCGAGCGAAGUUUUUCUGGUGCUUGCACUAGAAAAACUUAGCGGCGAACGGGUGAGUAACACGUAAAGAACCUGCCUCAUAGACUGGGACAACUAUUGGAAACGAUAGCUAAUACCGGAUAACAGCAUUAACUGCAUGGUUGAUGUUUAAAAGUUGGUUUUGCUAACACUAUGAGAUGGCUUUGCGGUGCAUUAGCUAGUUGGUGGGGUAAAGGCCUACCAAGGCGACGAUGCAUAGCCGACCUGAGAGGGUGAUCGGCCACACUGGGACUGAGACACGGCCCAGACUCCUACGGGAGGCAGCAGUAGGGAAUCUUCCGCAAUGGGCGAAAGCCUGACGGAGCAACGCCUCGUGAGUGAAGAAGGAUUUCGGUUCGUAAAGCUCUGUUGUUAGGGAAGAAUGAUUGUGUAGUAACUAUACACAGUAGAGACGGUACCUAACCAGAAAGCCACGGCUAACUACGUGCCAGCAGCCGCGGUAAUACGUAGGUGGCAAUCGUUGUCCGGAAUUAUUGGGCUUAAAAGCGCGCGCAUGUGGUUUAAUAAGUCUGAUGUGAAAGCCCACGGCUCAACCGUGGAGGGUCAUUGGUAAACUGUUAAACUUUAGUGCAGGAGAGAAAAUGGGAAUUCUGAUGUAUGUGUGGAAUGUGGAGUGAUUUGGGAGGAAUGGCCAUUGUGGGAGGCGUUUUUUUGUUCUUGUACUUGCCCUUGUGGCGCUUAAUCUUGUGGAUCAUGUGUGAUGUAUUCCCCUGUUUUACAAGGGCGAAUGUCUGAUGGUGUUUGUGUUGUUUGUGUUUGGUGUGCGUUGUGGGGGAAAAGAAGAAUGAGUAGAGUUGUUCGAUUGUGUGUGUAUAUGAUUGUGUGAUGUGAAAUAUUUUGUGUGUGUGGUGUCGUGUGCUGUGUUGUGUGUCUCUGGUGUUGUUGUGUCUGUGUGAUUCUUGUGUGUAGUGAUUGUGUGCUGUGGUGUGUUGUGUUGUG
RNAcentral lists this ribosomal RNA (1011 nucleotides) under uncultured Sphingomonas sp. Its description in RNAcentral is "bacterial SSU rRNA". The stretch from base 1 to 804 matches the Rfam family "Bacterial small subunit ribosomal RNA", at positions 28 to 873 of the family's 1533-position model. The record is from RNAcentral. Lineage: Bacteria; Pseudomonadati; Pseudomonadota; Alphaproteobacteria; Sphingomonadales; Sphingomonadaceae.